CUGAGAGGAGAGGCCUGUGUGCCACCCAGAGUUCUCACCCUUCACCUGGUGUGCAAGUCAGCCCUCUGCUUCUUCCCUUCACCACCCUCUGCAGAGAAAAACUGAAGAGCUCCAAGGUGGUGGCCAGCCCCAGCAGAGUACCACUCAGUUCUGACUUUUGGUGGAACCAGGGAUUGAACCUGGGACUUCUGCUGUCUCAGGCAUGAAAGCAUUCUGCACUAGGCUAUCUCUCUAGUCCCAAGAAACUGCACUUCAAUCAAAGCUCACGAGACUCAGGGCCCAAGCUUCCUGGCAGAGAGCAAGGCUGAUUCAGAGCCAUCAAUGCCAACCAUUUCUCUUUGCCGCAUAGUGUAAUUUACUGCAGGUUCCAGGAAUUUGAGGAUGAACACCUUUGGCCCAGGACACUGCUUUGUCUUCCAUCCUCAAGGCCGACUCACAGCCCAUUACAGCUGAUAGCUUCUAAAAUGUCUACUGUGGUGUCAGACUUCCAGGCAACAGGAAGGAUGUGGAAAGCUAGUUCUUUCUCACCCAACAUUUCUGCCAACAUCUCCUUGGCCAGAAAUGAGUCCCAUGGACACAUCAACCUUCAAGGAAGACUGGGAAGUGUGACUUUUACCCUAGUGGCAAAAUGGGCAUGGAGUGGAUGGCGGCGAAGGACAGAGGAGCUCUUCCCCAGGAAUGGUCUAAUAUAAACAACAAUAACCCUAAUCAUACUCCAGGCUUUUAUGGGACCUUUCAUCGAGGAACCAAAAACACAUUACAAGCAUUAACUCAUUAAUCUUCACAGCACCCCUGUGAGAGAGAAUUAAGUGUAAGUAAUCAUAAUUAUUACUGUCAUUAUCCUUCAAACAAUUCCCAGAUGUGCCGUGGCUGAACUGGCCUGCUUGGGGAAUUUUUUUUUUUUUUUUUUUUAAUAGUGAACCUAGAUUUUUGGCAGGAGUUUGACCAUCUUCACUCUCUUAUUCUUUUAUUUUCUUAUCUGCUUUUACUUACUAAAUAUAUAUGGAAUGUUUGAAUUUGUGCGGCCCCUGGAAGAAAUGAAAGGGAACAGGGCCCUGUCCAUGGAGGUCCUUGCCUCUGCUUUGGCCCGCAGAGAAGUCAGUUGCUGCGCAGAGGCCUCAGAAGUGAUCCCAGAUGUCAUUUGCUAACUAGGUUGGAGCUGUUGAUGAUUUCAACCUUAUCUCUUCGGACAAUAUGUUCUCAAAACAUGUCACCUCUCAUGAAGCUGAUGGAGGAAGUACUCAGCAGACAAAGUAGGGGCACCAAGAAAGGAAUUCGGGGUGACCAGGAAAGAGGGACUGACAAGAAUGAAGGGACUUCCACGAUGAAGGUGAUGGGAGGAGCCAGGAAGCCAGCUGUGGAGCUUUCAGAACAGCCUUCUGGUUGGAUCUGGGAGACUGAAGAUUCUGGGCAGAGUGCCCAAA
Long non-coding RNA from Erinaceus europaeus (western European hedgehog), 1424 nucleotides. RefSeq lists it as uncharacterized. The record is from RefSeq and is a predicted model, not a curated record. Lineage: Eukaryota; Metazoa; Chordata; Mammalia; Eulipotyphla; Erinaceidae. The transcript is spliced from 5 exons.